CCGACAGACUACACUUUUUACCAACUUUUUACUGCCGCUUUGCUAUGCUAUGUUCACCAAGUAAAUCUUGUUGAAUCAGCAUGAAACCAAGCCAAACCGAACAUUCGAAUCACCACUCAUGUGUGCGCGUCCCUUCCUGCAGGGCUCGGCUGCCUUCUGGUACAACAUGCGUGACGACGGCAGCUACGACUUCCGCACCUUGCAUGGCGGAUGCUCCGUGCUACACGGCACAAAGCACGUCGCGAACGUGUGGAUUCGAUCCAAUGCCCAGAUGUUCAACCGACCGUGCCCGGCGAAGAAAAGAAGACGAAAGCCCUUCGCUCUGAACCUGCGUACUUUAUUUCUUGGUCCUGCUGCUUACAUUUUUAUUCUUGUUGUGUCUUUCUCUAUGGCUAUAUUUUUUUCAAUGGGAACGACGGGUCGUCCCUAUUAGAAUGUAUUGUUUUUAUUUUUAAAUAAAGUGAAAAGAAAAUCAA
Molecule: long non-coding RNA, 476 nt
Organism: Dermacentor andersoni
Lineage: Eukaryota; Metazoa; Arthropoda; Arachnida; Ixodida; Ixodidae
Source: RefSeq, a predicted model, not a curated record